Molecule: long non-coding RNA, 642 nt
Filed under: Gouania willdenowi (blunt-snouted clingfish)
Lineage: Eukaryota; Metazoa; Chordata; Actinopteri; Blenniiformes; Gobiesocidae
Description: lncRNA (ENSGWIG00000009214.1)
Source: RNAcentral
AUCCAACGGAAACAUAUUUGUUUUUCCACAAAUCCAGUUUUUAUAUUAUCAAUCUAUUCCAAUUGGAUUUACAUAUUUAGUAACAAUCAUCUUGCUCAGUAGUUUUGAUAGAAAGUAUUUUAAAAUGUGUCUUUGGACUGAUGCUGACUGAUCGUGGUGUUUCCCACAGGUAUGGUUCAUUUAACCAUGCCACCUGAGCCUGUGUGUUACCAGGACACCGUGGACCUGCUGUGCACAUCACAGGAGAACCUGAAAGCCCAACCACAGUGGUUCCUCAGAAAGCAGGAGGACAUCUUUGACAUAACCACAGGCACCGUUUCAGACGUGAUGAUCCUCCAGCCCACGCAGACCAAAAUCACACUGAGUGGCGUCUCACGUCUGUGGGCAGGGGAAUACAUAUGUGUGUACCAACAAAGGAAUGGUCGUAACAUAAUAUCGCACAAAGCAACCGCUAAAAUGGAUGUUGCCCUCCUGCCCAACGUUGACACCUCCACUGAUCCACAGUUUCCUCGCUGUAGGAAAAGCUCAGAGGUCCUGAACCUCAGAGCCAAAUGUGAGGUGUUACUAAGCAGCGAACGUUACAAACACACGGGUGACCUGGGAAGGAGACGGCAUCACACAGCAGUCGUCGUUCAUUGGUAA